Molecule: non-coding RNA, 607 nt
Organism: Clostridium sulfidigenes
Lineage: Bacteria; Bacillati; Bacillota; Clostridia; Eubacteriales; Clostridiaceae
Source: Rfam
UAAUUAAUUUAAUGAGGUGGUGCAGUAUUCUAGUCAGGUAAGUACUUUUGAGGACGGGGCUAAAAAUCCGUUGAAGGGCACAUCGAUGAAGUUCCUUGUGCUGGCCUGUAACGCCCAGUUGUGGGCUUGUGCUGGGAGUAAGGUUGUGGGGCGACCGCAAAGGCAUGCGACAUCGACCCUACAAUCGUGGAGACCAAUGUUUGUGCUUUGGGAGAGAUACCCACGGUACGGCACUGGAUUAAACCUGCAUUGUGGUAAACGAGCUAUGUGCAGAGUAGCCUGCCUUGAGUGAGGUGGGUAGAGGUGAGAACAAAUCUUGUUACCCCGGCCAGGGUAAUGGGGCUAUUGCUUGCUAAAACCCAUGUUGCAAAAGAGGAUAAGAGAGUACCUAACUGUCGAGGAAAUCUCCUAGACUGUUCCAUGUGAAGCAUAUUAAGGAUUGCAGUGUGGACUAAGUGGUAAUCUAGCCCUAUAGUUGGAAACACUAUAGAUAGAGCAUUAAAGGGAAACCGUCAAGAUGGCGACAUCUUGAUCACUCUAUGGGAAAUCCUGCUAGACCUAAGCCGCAAAUUUUACUUAGUAUGCUACCACCUUUAUCUAUUUUUGG